Dendrobium catenatum is the source of this 728-nucleotide long non-coding RNA. RefSeq lists it as uncharacterized. Lineage: Eukaryota; Viridiplantae; Streptophyta; Magnoliopsida; Asparagales; Orchidaceae. The transcript has 2 exons. The record is from RefSeq and is a predicted model, not a curated record.
GACGAUGAAAGGACGACUGGCGGAACGAAGCGCAAUCGAUGUCAUUCCAGUCACUUGGAGCCACAUGAAACUCUUCAGCUUACCCCUCUCUCCAUAAUUUCUAGAUAUCUUUCUUCUCGCUCACUCCACUCAAAUUAUUUUGGUCCAUUCACCUUCUGUAACUUAAUAACAUUAACAUGCCACUUCAAAUUCCACUGUCUUCACAUUUAUUUCUUCUUUCUCAUUUCAUUUUUCUGCUUCACAUGAGGAGUUCUGAAGCCAUGACUGGAGCUCUUCAGAGGAGUGCAACAAGAUGUUCAACUUCACGUGCUUUGCUCAUAGGUGAACGGGUUUUCUUUACCUCUUAUCCAUUUCUUCAUUGUUGUUUAAUAUGUCCUGUCAGAUCAUAAGCCACGACGGGAGCUCUUCGGAGAUGCGCAACAAGAUGUUUGACUUUUUCUGCUUUGCUCAUAGUGGUAGAGCUCGGUGGUGGUAAGCAGUGCGAGAUCGUUGGUUAUCUUCUUGGAUUUUUGGUUUUUUACAUCAGGAGAGCUCGAUGGGGGAAAGUUGGAGAGGUAUGAAGUGGUUCUACUAUUUCGUGAGUUAGAUAAGGUAGGUGAGAAAAAAAAUAUCUAUCAGAAGUUUAACUGAUUCUUGUAAUACUUUAAUUUCCUCUUUUGCACAUUGAACUGAUUGUUUAAUUUAUGAAAUAUUUGUCAAUGUUCUUGAAUUAUUAUUUUUGUAUUUAA